GGGCGCGUGACUCAGCGGUAGAGUGUCGCCUUCACACGGCGGAAGUCACAGGUUCGAAUCCUGUCGCGCCCACCA
This 75-nucleotide transfer RNA is filed under the name Deltaproteobacteria bacterium. RNAcentral describes it as "tRNA-Val". It matches the Rfam family "tRNA". Rfam says of the family: Transfer RNA (tRNA) molecules are approximately 80 nucleotides in length. Their secondary structure includes four short double-helical elements and three loops (D, anti-codon, and T loops). RNAcentral also lists the same sequence under 1 other name. Lineage: Bacteria; Pseudomonadati; Myxococcota; Myxococcia. The record is from RNAcentral.